RNAcentral lists this ribosomal RNA (433 nucleotides) under uncultured bacterium. RNAcentral describes it as "partial 16S ribosomal RNA". It matches the Rfam family "Bacterial small subunit ribosomal RNA", at positions 30 to 506 of the family's 1533-position model. The record is from RNAcentral.
AGCGAACGCUGGCGGCAGGCCUAACACAUGCAAGUCGAACGAACCGUUCGGGGUUGGUGGCGAACGGGGGGGCAACACGGGGGAACGUGCCUGUAGGUUCGGCAUAACUCAGUGAGACAUGUGCUAAUACCGAAUGUGCCCUUCGGGGGAAAGAUUAAUCGGCUUUGGCGCGGCCCGCGUCUGUUUAGGUAGGUGGGUGAGGUAAUGGCUCACCAGGGCGACGACCAGUAGCUGGUCUGCGAGGAUGAUGAGCCAACUUGGGACCGGGACACGGCCCAAACUCCUGCGGGAGGCGGCAGUGGUGAACCAUGCGCAGUGGGCGGAAGCAUGACGCACCCAUGCCGCGUGAAUGAUGAAGGGCUUAGGACCGUAAAAUUCUUUCACCGAGGACGGUAAUGCGGGUAACCGGAGAAGAAGCCCCGGCUACUUCCGU